AAAAAGCAACUAAUAGAUCCCGUUUCUCUCUCUAAAACCAAACGCCACCCUUCCUUUCAUCUCCAUCUAUCUCACAAUGUUGAAACAAAUUCAAGUCCUCACAAAAACGAAUACAAUCAAAAGAAAUAGAACAAAUCCCUUUUAAACUGCUCCAACACAAAUUGAAACAAAAUCACCCCUUUAGAAUCAGUUUUAACAAAAAAA
Molecule: long non-coding RNA, 204 nt
Filed under: Lathyrus oleraceus (garden pea)
Lineage: Eukaryota; Viridiplantae; Streptophyta; Magnoliopsida; Fabales; Fabaceae
Description: Pisum sativum (pea) long non-coding RNA (PSAT_LNC027001)
Source: RNAcentral